GAUGAACGCUGGCGGCGUGCCUAAUACAUGCAAGUUGAGCGCUGAAGGUUGGUACUUGUACCAACUGGAUGAGCAGCGAACGGGUGAGUAACGCGUGGGGAAUCUGCCUUUGAGCGGGGGACAACAUUUGGAAACGAAUGCUAAUACCGCAUAAAAACUUUAAACACAAGUUUUAAGUUUGAAAGAUGCAAUUGCAUCACUCAAAGAUGAUCCCGCGUUGUAUUAGCUAGUUGGUGAGGUAAAGGCUCGCCAAGGCGAUGAUACAUAGCCGACCUGAGAGGGUGAUCGGCCAAAAUGGGAAUGAGGCACGGCCCAAACUCCUACGGGAGGCAGCAGUAGGGAAUCUUCGGCAAUGGACGACAGUCUGACCGAGCAACGCCGCGUGAGUGAAGAAGGUCUUCGGAUCGUAAAACUCUGUUGGUAGAGAAGAACGUUGGUGAGGGUGGAAAGCUCAUCAAGUGACGGUAACUACCCAGAAAGGGACGGCUAACUACGUG
RNAcentral lists this ribosomal RNA (497 nucleotides) under uncultured bacterium. RNAcentral describes it as "partial 16S ribosomal RNA". It matches the Rfam family "Bacterial small subunit ribosomal RNA", at positions 28 to 507 of the family's 1533-position model. The record is from RNAcentral.